This is a non-coding RNA of Acanthochromis polyacanthus (spiny chromis), 457 nucleotides long. Lineage: Eukaryota; Metazoa; Chordata; Actinopteri; Pomacentridae. The record is from the annotation of a RefSeq genome assembly.
CCUCCAGUGAGGAGCUGCAGCAGGGGAAGGCCACGCUCAUGUGCCUGGCCAACAAGGGCUUCCCCUCAGACUGGAGUCUGUCCUGGAAGGUGGACGGCAGCAGCAGCAGCAGCAGCAGCAGCAUGAGCUGGGAGGAGAGCAGGAGCCCCGGGGUGCUGGAGAAGGACGGCCACUACAGCUGGAGCAGCACCCUGAGGCUCCCUGCAGACCAGUGGAGGAAGGUGGUCUCUGUGAGCUGUGAGGCCACCCAGGGCUCCCACACUCCGCUCUCACAGACACUGAGGAGAGACCAGUGUUCCCAGUCCUGACCUCACUCACUGGGACUCUCAUACUGCUUUGACUCUCUGUCUGCUCUCUGGAACUCUCUCUCUUUCUGUCUCUCAUCAAAGUAAAUAAAGAUUCAAAUAGUCCUGUUUUCCUUCUCAUCAUGUCACAGCUCAUGUUUUCACAAAAUAAA